Molecule: small RNA, 27 nt
Filed under: Staphylococcus aureus
Lineage: Bacteria; Bacillati; Bacillota; Bacilli; Caryophanales; Staphylococcaceae
Description: HMPRFS0000_2671
Source: RNAcentral
GAAGCUUACCAAAAAGUAAUGGAAUAU